This 1823-nucleotide long non-coding RNA is filed under the name Olea europaea subsp. europaea. Lineage: Eukaryota; Viridiplantae; Streptophyta; Magnoliopsida; Lamiales; Oleaceae. The record is from RNAcentral.
AACAGACUCUUAACCUUUUAAUUAAUAUAGUAGAUUUGGAUAUUUAUUAUUGUGUUUUUGAAAUUUCCUUAUAUAAUAGGAUCACUUAGGUCUUUCGAUAAAUGAGAUUAGUAGAAUGAAAAGUAUAGUAUUCUCAAUUAUGCAGUUUCUUGGAAUUUUGAGAAAUCAAAAGUAUGUUUGAUGAAAAUUAAAAUUAGAUUUUUUGAUAGAUUGUAAUAGUAGUUUUUGAAAUGUGUAAUUGAAAAAUUGUAGGACCAAUAAAAGAUGUGAUUAAUAUUGAUUAUUCGAUUUCGACUUAACUUAAAAUCAGAUUUUAAUGAUAACAAAACACGGGCAUGUCUAUAUUUCUGGUAUUAACGAGAGUAUGAACAGAAACUAGAAGGAUGUUUACCAAUUUCUUGUUUCCACGCUUGCGUACGUGCUAUUCUACAUCAUCAUUGCAUAGGAUUACUGAAUACAGUAAAUAAUGACGUUUUAAAUCCCUAAUUUUACAUGUUAAACCUUCUUAGGCGACCAAUGAGGCAGAGUUUCUUUUUCUUCAUAGUCAUUGAGUAAACUCUAAAAUGUAUUUAGCCCUUGUUUGAUAGAGAUUAAAAUCAUAUUUUUUGUUAAUUUUAAUAAAAUUUAAUUAAAUAUAUGAUUGAAAAGUAAUAGAUUCUAUCAAAUGUGUAAUUAAAAUUAAUUUUUGAAUUUGACUUUUAAAAUAAAAUCUAAAUUUUAAUUUCUAUCAAACAAAUGCUGGUAAUUAGGAAGGUUACAGGCUUUGACAUGCUGUAGACAUGCUAACUACCAUCUGAAAGUUUAAUACAGAGUUUUCUCCUACUCCUUCCGGAUUGUACUAAAAAAUUCGACAUUCAAGCGAAAAGUCACUCACAUUUUCAUAAAUCAUCCUGCAAGAAAUUUCAGACAUGGAACGAAAGAAGUAGAAGAUGCUAGCUUAUUAGUUUUAUAAUUAUUGACGGUUGAUUUUGUGAUACAAUUGGGGAAUAUUUAUUCAUCUUAUUUUUAAAAGCUAAGCGAAAUUAAGAACGAACCCAAAACGAGUUUAUUAUUUUCAUAUGAGAAAAAUAUGUUAUUGAUUAAAUUUGAGCAGAUAUUUGAAAAAAAAGAAAUCCACAAAUAAUUUAAAUUCUUAGAAAAAUGAAUUAACGGUAAGAAAUUAAGAAAGAGCAUCAUCAAUAAUCAGAAAUAAAAUGUUGUUCUCAUACACAGCAUUGUCAGACUGUGUCAGAAGGUGUCCUAAGAUUUUCUGAUUUCAUCAUCUUGAUGAUACACAAAAUGAAAAAUGAAAAAUUCAAAAUAUUUAUUGUAUAUAUGUGUUAAAAAAACAAAAAAAUAUUAAUUGGAAAAAGAAUUAAGUAAAAUAGUUAAUUAAGAUUCGAAGAAAAGGGCAAUUUGAAUCAGAAAGAACGCAGCAAAAAGGAUUAGAAUUGAUCAGAUGGGAUUAACCAUCACCUUUUACUCCUUUCAUCAUCUCCAAUAUAAGCAAAAUACACAAAUUACACGAAGAACUUGCCUGUUCGUCUACCGGCUGCGUGUGAGAGUAGAGAUGAGCCAGACCGCGGAAGGAGGAGAACUCGUCGAAGACCUAAAACUCCAGUGUGUCUAAUUUAUAGAGAACUGAAAAAGAACAGGGACAAGCAAACCCUAGGGGAAGGGAGUGUAAUUUGGAGACGGACUGGAUCUGGCAUUCAAAUUCAGAUUUAGAUGUAACCUAUAUGGAUCAACUCAAGACGGCCCAUGUGAGAUACAUCUAAUAGUACUGGGUAAGAACAACCUAAACAAAUACUAAAGGGGACGUCAUCAAACUAUUUCGAGUUUUA